GGGACCCCAGGUCAGGCGGGACYACCCGCUGAGUUUAAGCAU
RNAcentral lists this ribosomal RNA (42 nucleotides) under Sempervivum montanum. RNAcentral describes it as "partial 26S ribosomal RNA". RNAcentral also lists the same sequence under 2 other names. The record is from RNAcentral. Lineage: Eukaryota; Viridiplantae; Streptophyta; Magnoliopsida; Saxifragales; Crassulaceae.